This 429-nucleotide ribosomal RNA is filed under the name Bacteroidota bacterium. RNAcentral describes it as "Bacteroidetes bacterium partial 16S ribosomal RNA". It matches the Rfam family "Bacterial small subunit ribosomal RNA", at positions 355 to 776 of the family's 1533-position model. Lineage: Bacteria; Pseudomonadati; Bacteroidota. The record is from RNAcentral.
UAGGGAAUCUUCCGCAAUGGACGCAAGUCUGACGGAGCAACGCCGCGUGAGUGAAGAAGGAUUUCGGUUCGUAAAACUCUGUUGUUAGAGAAGAACAGCGCAUAGAGUAACUGUUAUGCGUGUGACGGUAUCUAACCAGAAAGCCACGGCUAACUACGUGCCAGCAGCCGCGGUAAUACGUAGGUGGCAAGCGUUGUCCGGAUUUAUUGGGCGUAAAGCGAGCGCAGGCGGUCAAUUAAGUCUGAUGUGAAAGCCCCCGGCUAAACCGGGGAGGGUCAUUGGAAACGGGUUGACUUGAGUGCAGAAGAGGAGAGUGGAAUUCCAUGUGUAGCGGUGAAAUGCGUAGAUAUAUGGAGGAACACCAGUGGCGAAGGCGACUCUCUGGUCUGUAACUGACGCUGAGGCUCGAAAGCGUGGGUAGCAAACAGG